GGACCAUUAGCUCAGUGGAUAGAGUCGCAGGCUUCGAACCUGUUGGUCGGGGGUUCGAAUCCCUCAUGGUUCA
This 73-nucleotide transfer RNA is filed under the name Clostridiales bacterium. Its description in RNAcentral is "tRNA-Arg". It matches the Rfam family "tRNA". Rfam says of the family: Transfer RNA (tRNA) molecules are approximately 80 nucleotides in length. Their secondary structure includes four short double-helical elements and three loops (D, anti-codon, and T loops). Further hydrogen bonds mediate the characteristic L-shaped molecular structure. tRNAs have two regions of fundamental functional importance: the anti-codon, which is responsible for specific mRNA codon recognition, and the 3' end, to which the tRNAs corresponding amino acid is attached (by aminoacyl-tRNA synthetases). tRNAs cope with the degeneracy of the genetic code in two manners: having more than one tRNA (with a specific anti-codon) for a particular amino acid; and 'wobble' base-pairing, i.e. permitting non-standard base-pairing at the 3rd anti-codon position. Lineage: Bacteria; Bacillati; Bacillota; Clostridia; Eubacteriales. The record is from RNAcentral.